This 269-nucleotide long non-coding RNA is filed under the name Elaeis guineensis (African oil palm). RNAcentral's name for it is "long non-coding RNA (EGUI_LNC041019)". The record is from RNAcentral. Lineage: Eukaryota; Viridiplantae; Streptophyta; Magnoliopsida; Arecales; Arecaceae.
UUAUAAUUUAUUUUAAUUGUAGAAAUAAAAUUAAUCAAAAUUUUAUCGAAUAUCAUGUUGGAAGAAAUAACUGAUAAAUUAGGAUUUUUUAAGCUGAUUUAUGGCAUGAGCAUUUGGGAUGAUGGUUUUUUGGCAUCGCAUGUAGAGAUUGUACUGGAAUAGAAAAAUGGAUCACCUAAGUGCCUGAAAACUUAGGGUUAUACGUACAAUGAUCGAGACAAGGCAGACGAAUCGACUGCUAGAUUUGUAAUUACCCGAUUAAAGGAGAG